UCCUCUGCGGGAGUGCUAGCUCAAGCCGAUCAGCCCUCUGUGGGAGUGCUAGCUCACGCAGUCGGCUUCUGAUGGUAGAUCUAACUUGAUCUCCUUUUUUGAUCAUCUCAAACCUUUUCGAUGUUGAAGAUGGAUUAGAGAAGGAUGCUGGAUGGUGGAGAAAAAUUAGAUGAAGGUUCUCUUCUCUUUGGUUUUUCUCUCACCCAAAAAUCUAGAACAGUUCUAAGUCUCUGACCCAAGAGGAGAACGGUCUCCUCUUUUGUUUACACC
This 270-nucleotide long non-coding RNA is filed under the name Elaeis guineensis (African oil palm). Its description in RNAcentral is "long non-coding RNA (EGUI_LNC056422)". The record is from RNAcentral. Lineage: Eukaryota; Viridiplantae; Streptophyta; Magnoliopsida; Arecales; Arecaceae.